This 404-nucleotide ribosomal RNA is filed under the name uncultured bacterium. RNAcentral describes it as "partial 16S ribosomal RNA". It matches the Rfam family "Bacterial small subunit ribosomal RNA", at positions 30 to 526 of the family's 1533-position model. The record is from RNAcentral.
AUUGAACGCUGGCGGCAGGCCUAACACAUGCAAGUCGAGCGAGCGGCGGACGGGUGAGUAAUGCCUGGGAAUUGUCCCGUCGAGGGGGAUAACAGUGGGAAACGACUGCUAAUACCGCAUUCGAUUGGAUUGCCCAGAUGGGAUUAGCUAGUUGGUGAGGUGAUGGCACACCAAGGAGACGAUCCCUAGCUGGUCUGAGUGUAUGAUCAGGCACACUACAACGGAGAUACGGUCCAGACUAAAACGGGCGGCAGCAGUGGAGAAUAUAGCACGAUGGAGGAACCCCUGAUGCAGCCAUGCCGCGUGUGGGAGGAAGGCAUUCGGGUUGUAAAGCACUUUCAGCGAGGAGGCGUUACUCGAAGAAGAAGCACCGGCUAACUCCGUGCCAGCAGCCGCGGUAAUAC